AUGCAUGUCUAAGUGGAGUAUUAUAUAGCGAAACUGCGAACGGCUCAUUACAACAGAUAUAAUUUACUAGUUCUUGUUUCUAUAUGGAUAACUGCGGUAAUUCUGGAGCCAACACAUGCAUCAAGCCUUGGCCUUCGGGUUAGGGUGCAAUUAUUGGAGCAAAACCAGUCUCGUACUGUUUGCUAACUCAGGAUAAUUCUGCAUAUCGCAUGGUCUUGUACCGGCGAAGUUUCUUUCAAGUAUCUGCUUUAUCAACUAUCGUUGGUAGUUUAUUGGUCUACCAUGGUGUUGACGGGUAACGGAGAAUCAGGGUUUGACUCCGGAGAGGGAGCCUUAGAAACGGCUACCAUGUCUAAGGAUAGCAGCAGGCGCGAAAAUUACCCAAUAUCAAAACGAUGAGGUAGUGACGAGAAAUAACAAGAUCGUUCUCUAUGAGAUCGAUUAUUGGAAUGAGUACAAUCCAGACAUUUUAACGAGUACCUACGAGAGGGCAAGUCUGGUGCCAGCAGCCGCGGUAAUUCCAGCUCUCGUAAUGUAUAGAAUUAUUGUUGCGAUUAAAAAGUUCGUAGUUGGAUUGCAACGCAGGUAUGGGUCCACCUUCUGGGUGCGUACUCAAUGUCUGCAUUUUGCAUGUUUUUGUGGCGUCGCUUCGGUGGCGUUCAUGAUGCAUGCAGGAUUACUUUGAACGGCUCAAGUGCUUAAAGCAAGUCUUAUGACUGAAUACCGGUGCAUGGAAUAAUGGAACAAGGUUGUGGCUGAGUUUUAUUGGUUUUGUCGGCUAAAACAAUGGUUAACAGGAACAGCCGGGGGCAUUCGUAUCGCUGCGCGAGAGGUGAAAUUCGUGGACCGUAGCGAGACGUCCUACAGCGAAGGCAUUUGCCAAGAGUGUUUUCAUUAAUCAAGAACGAAAGUCAGAGGUUCGAAGGCGAUUAGAUACCGCUCUAGUUCUGACCGUAAACGAUGCCAACUGUCGAUCCGCUUGUGGAUUCUAUUCAUGAGCGGGGAGAUUUCCGGAAACGAAAGUUUUUCGGUUUCGGGGGAAGUAUGGUUGCAAAGCUGAAACUUAAAGGAAUUGACGGAAGGGCACCACCAGGAGUGGAGCUUGCGGCUUAAUUUGACUCAACACGGGAAAUCUCACCCGGCCAGUACAUCGUAAGGAUUGACAGACUGACAGCUCUUUCAUGAUUCGGUGAAUGGUGGUGCAUGGCCGUUCUUAGUUCGUGGAUUGAUUUGUCUGGUUUAUUCCGAUAACGAACGAGACUUUAACUAUUAAAUAGUGCGCAUGUUGCUUCGGCUGCGUGUGAUCACUUCUUAAAGGAAUUUGUGGUUUUCAACCUCAAGAAAUUGAGCAAUAACAGGUCUGUGAUGCCCUUAGAUGUUCGGGGCCGCACGCGUGCUACAAUGGUGGUAAUAGCGUGAUUGUCCUUUUCCGACAGGAAUUGGCAAACAGUUGAGAUAUUAUUAUGGCUGGAAUUGAGUGUUGAAAUUUUCUCUCAUGAACGAGGAAUUCCAAGUAAAUGUGAGUCAUUAACUUGCAUUGAUUACGUCCCUGCCCUUUGUACACACCGCCCGUCGCUGCCCGGGACUGAGUUACUUCGAGAAAACUAGGGAUCGCUGGAGUUCGAUGUUUCGGCAUUGUCUUUGGUGAGAACUAGUUUAAUCGCAGUGGCUUGAACCGGGCAAAAGUCGUAACAAGGUAGCCGUAGGUGAA
RNAcentral lists this ribosomal RNA (1711 nucleotides) under Bursaphelenchus populi. Its description in RNAcentral is "SSU rRNA". It matches the Rfam family "Eukaryotic small subunit ribosomal RNA". Lineage: Eukaryota; Metazoa; Nematoda; Chromadorea; Rhabditida; Aphelenchoididae. The record is from RNAcentral.